AUUAUUUACGUACUCAUUUUUUCCAACGAUGCCCAAUUUCCCAGAAACAACAUGUUGUGGUCCGCCCCCAGCUGCCAUGUGAACAUUUGUCGUCAAGUCUGCAUAUGGGUGCAACGCACGCACAUUUCACUCAGCAAAUACGAGUGAAAAUGGGCUUCCAUAAAGUUUGCGCAAACUUCCAAUGCAUUUCAACAAUAUUGCCAGAAAUGGAUUGUCAACCGUCAAACCACUGGUGUUGACAUUAUUAUGAGCUGUCCUCCCUUCAGCAGCCUCCAUUGAUGUAGACGGGAGGGGUAUCGAUCGCCAGCUGAGCCUAAAUGCUGCAAUUGUGAAGUGUCCUGUUAGGCUGAAGGAGACGGAGGUGGAGCUGAAGUCGGGGCUCCUUUUAUAAGCAGUAUCUGAGACGAGAGGGACCUGGAGCUGAUUUAUGCUGCGUGCCAUCAGGAGUUGGCAAACAUCUCAGAAGGGACACAAGUUGAUGAUCACUGACAGUACAUCACAAGUAAUAUCACCCUUUCAAUACGUGUCACUCAUCAACACUUCCUCAUUUUCCUACAGAUGGGCAGGAGAGAUUAGGGCUGGGCGAUAUGGCCAAAAUAUCACAAUAUUUCACUUUUUUUUACAGUAUGACUUAGGAUUGUUUUAUACCGUUCAAUCCAACAAAAAUCUUUUUCAGCAUUUUCAUCAAUUUCCACACUGUGCCAUGUAGGGCUGCAUGUAAAUUGGUGAACUCUUGGAAUCAUGGAAAUAUAAUGAUUAUUCUAAUUCCAUACACUGAACAAAAAUACAAACGCAACAACUUCAAAGAUUUUACUGAGUUACAAUUCAUACAAGGACAUCAGU
Non-coding RNA from Salmo salar (Atlantic salmon), 843 nucleotides. NCBI's taxonomy places the organism in Eukaryota, Metazoa, Chordata, Actinopteri, Salmoniformes, Salmonidae. The record is from RefSeq and is a predicted model, not a curated record.